AGUUUGAUCAUGGCUCAGAGCGAACGCUAGCGGCGGGCUUAACACAUGCAAGUCGAGCGGAGAGCUUCGGCUCUCAGCGGCGAACGGGUGAGUAACACGUAGGUCACGUACCCUUUGAUGGGGAAUAACCUAGGGAAACCUGGGCUAAUACCGCAUAUGUCCUUCGGGAUGAAAGCCUUCGGGCGUCAGAGGAUCGGCCUGCGGCCCAUUAUUUAAUCCUAGUUGGUAGGGUAAUGGCCUACCAAGGGUACGAUGGGUAGCUGGUCUGAGAGGAUGAUCAGCCACACUGGAACUGAGACACGGUUCAGACUCCUACGGGAGGCAGCAGUGGGGAAUAUUGGACAAUGGGCGAAAGCCUGAUCCAGCCACGCCGCGUGGGUGAUGAAGGCCUUCGGGUUGUAAAGCCCUGUCGGGAGGGACGAAUCAAUGACGGUACCUCCCAAGAAAGCACCGGCUAACUCCGUG
Molecule: ribosomal RNA, 465 nt
Filed under: uncultured bacterium
Lineage: Bacteria
Description: bacterial SSU rRNA
Rfam family: Bacterial small subunit ribosomal RNA
Source: RNAcentral